AUUGAACGCUGGCGGCAUGCUUUACACAUGCAAGUCGAACGGCAGCGCGGGCUUCGGCCUGGCGGCGAGUGGCGAACGGGUGAGUAAUACAUCGGAACGUGCCCAGUAGAGGGGGAUAGCUCGGCGAAAGCCGGAUUAAUACCGCAUACGACCUGAGGGUGAAAGCGGGGGAUCUUCGGACCUCGCGCUAUUGGAGCGGCCGAUGACAGAUUAGCUAGUUGGUGGGGUAAAGGCCUACCAAGGCGACGAUCUGUAGCUGGUCUGAGAGGACGACCAGCCACACUGGAACUGAGACACGGCCCAGACUCCUACGGGAGGCAGCAGUGGGGAAUUUUGGACAAUGGGCGAAAGCCUGAUCCAGCAAUGCCGCGUGUGUGAUGAAGGCCUUCGGGUUGUAAAGCACUUUUGGCGGGAACGAAAAGGACUGUGCCAAUACCACGGUUCGAUGACGGUACCCGCAGAAUAAGCACCGGCUAACUACGUG
This 484-nucleotide ribosomal RNA is filed under the name uncultured bacterium. RNAcentral describes it as "partial 16S ribosomal RNA". It matches the Rfam family "Bacterial small subunit ribosomal RNA", at positions 29 to 507 of the family's 1533-position model. The record is from RNAcentral.